Molecule: long non-coding RNA, 1959 nt
Filed under: Lactuca sativa (garden lettuce)
Lineage: Eukaryota; Viridiplantae; Streptophyta; Magnoliopsida; Asterales; Asteraceae
Description: long non-coding RNA (LSAT_LNC006307)
Source: RNAcentral
AGGGGGGGUUUAAAUAGAUAACGCUUAGGCAGGGAUGGGUUAAACCGGCAAAAUGAGUAAUGAAUGGUUUAGAAUAGCUAUAAAAUUGUUUAUGGUAUGCAUUGUUUUCGUAUGAAGAGUUAACGAUAUUUUAUGUUUAAAAACAUAUUGGUUUAAAAUUUAGAAAAAGGAUGUAACAUUGAUUUUGUUUAUCAACAUAAAAACUCUAUGAAUCAGCAUCAUGUAUGGUUAGUUGGUUAUGAUCCUCAACAUUUCAAUCAAUUCAAAUUAAGAAACAAAAUAAUGUGUGUUUGAUACAAUGAUAAUAUUGCUUUCCUGUAAGAUUGUAACGCAUAUAUACCAUUGUAGUUAAAACAUUAACAAUUGUCAUUUUAUUUAGACACAAUUUUGUGUUUUCCUGGAAUAUGAAGUGAUUUGUGAAAUUCAACUCUAUACAAAUAUUAUUUUGAAUGGUAAUGAUAUUUGUCAAUGCAUUGUAUCUUGUUUAAACAUAUUUUUUUCAUCUCGAAUUAGUCUACUUAAAGAAAAUGAAUAGUCGUUAUAAACUAAUCACCGAAAGAAACUAUUUGUGGUCGCAGCAUCGCACGGGUACCCUACUAGUAUAUAUAUGCUAAGCACGACCCAAUAUCAUCAUUUGAUAUAUAAGAAACCAAUGUUUAGAUGAAGUUAUAAUUGAGUAGGAUAAGAGUUACUAUGAUACUUGAUGUUAUUGUUUUAUCCUUUUCAAUCACAUGUUACCUACAAAAUGAAAUCUAAACAUUAUUAUUAUACUUCCAUGAGAAAUAUAUAAAAAUUAUCCCAUUAUUUAAUAUCCAAGUGCGUAGAAAAUAUCGACUAAAUAUUAUAAGUCUAACGUAUUGGACCGGGGUGGUUGUUUUUUUUACUUCAUAUUGGACCGGUAGAUGAAUGCAAAAGGAGUUUGACUGCACUUUAACUUAAAAUUCAGAAACAAGAUCCAACAUUGAUUGCAUCUACAAUAUAUCAUUGAAUAUUAAUAUUGAUUAUAAGAAAGAUGAUACAUCAUAACUACUUUAAUUCGCAAAAACAUUGAUCGAGGACAUGCACAAAACAUCUGCAAGAUGGUCUCUGUGCAACAAGCUAGACUAUUGACAUAUUUUCUUAGAAAGUAAGUUUAUAUAUAACUCUUGCACUCCAUAAAGACGAAGCAACAAGUGAAUAAAGAAAAGAGGAUCAAUUUUACCUUAUAUAUGUUUCAUGAUUCGUUCAUAAACGGACUGUACCUCGCCCAUGAUUAUUGGUUAUGGUCUAAGAUUUGCUUUUCAUGUAUGAGGCUUUGAAAAAGAAGUCUAAUAAAUGAAUAUGAAUUAACUAAUGUUAGGGAAAAAAAUUGAUGAACAUGAUUAUUCAUUUGACUUUAUAAGUUCAAAAUUUUGACUUUAAUCGCUGCCUAAUGUUCGAAUUCAUCAUAAUCAAGUUUUUGCUUACUUUGAAUUCCAAUUUCCCGUUUCAUCAUCAGCAUCAACCUCUCUUCUAUCCCAUUCUCUUUAGCCUCGCUUUCAUCUACUUAACUAUUAAAACCGUUGUCAACAAAAAGAAAAGGCAAUAAUAAUACCUUGAAAUCGUUGUUGAAGAUGACUAUACCUUGAUUCAGAUCAGGGCAUGGCCGCUUCAAUCUCGUUUUCUAGAGAGAUAUAAAGAGUAGAGUUUGCAGACAUUAUCCCCCAAAUACAAUGAUUGAGCAAAUUAAACAUGAAAUCGAACAAAAUUACUCUCUCUCAAUCGAAGCGUGAUGAUUCAUCUUCAAGCGUUGACCAGUGACCAUGAGAUAUAUGUAUGAACAAUUGUAGUGUAUGCAAAAAGAUGUCGUUUGAGUCUUUACCAAUAAGGGUCUUCUGAGCCCAAAUCAAUUAUAAGCGGCCCAAAACUUAAUAGUAGCAGGUUUAAAUGCCCAAAAACAGAAAUAAAUAAAUAGAUAACUAUAAAUCAGAACAGAAAAUG